Molecule: ribosomal RNA, 418 nt
Filed under: Acrapex albivena
Lineage: Eukaryota; Metazoa; Arthropoda; Insecta; Lepidoptera; Noctuidae
Description: partial 16S ribosomal RNA
Source: RNAcentral
AGGGCUGCAGUAUAUUGACUGUACAAAGGUAGCAUAAUCAUUAGUCAUUUAAUUGAUGACUUGUAUGAAGGAUUUGAUGAGAUAUAAACUGUCUCUUAUUUAAUUAUAAAAUUUAAUUUUUUUAUUAAAAAGUUAAAAUAUCUUAAAAAGACGAGAAGACCCUAUAGAGUUUAAUAAAUUAUUAGAUUGAGAUUAUAUGUAAAACAAAUUUAAAAUAAAAUUAUUUAUUUUGUUGGGGUGACAAAAAAAUACAUUAAACUUUUUUUUUUUAUUUUAAAACAUUUAUAAGUGAUUAAAUGAUCCAAUAAUAUUGAUUAUGAGAAAAAAUUACCUUAGGGAUAACAGCGUAAUUUUUUUUUUUAGUUCAAAUAAGAAAAAGAGUUUGCGACCUCGAUGUUGGAUUAAGAUAAAAUUUAAA